RNAcentral lists this ribosomal RNA (250 nucleotides) under uncultured bacterium. RNAcentral's name for it is "partial 16S ribosomal RNA". It matches the Rfam family "Bacterial small subunit ribosomal RNA", at positions 524 to 773 of the family's 1533-position model. The record is from RNAcentral.
UACGUAGGGUGCGAGCGUUAAUCGGAAUUACUGGGCGUAAAGCGUGCGCAGGCGGUUUUGUAAGCCAGAUGUGAAAUCCCCGGGCUCAACCUGGGAAUGGCAUUUGGGACUGCAAGGCUGGAGUGUGGCAGAGGGGACUAGAAUUCCUGGUGUAGCAGUGAAAUGCGUAGAUAUCAGGAGGAAUACCGAUGGCGAAGGCAGGUCCCUGGGUUAACACUGACGCUCAUGCACGAAAGCGUGGGGAGCAAAC